RNAcentral lists this unclassified non-coding RNA (133 nucleotides) under rhizosphere metagenome. Its description in RNAcentral is "partial ribosomal RNA internal transcribed spacer region". The record is from RNAcentral.
GAAUUGAGCUGGCUUCGGCCGCUCUGAUCUAUACACACCUGUGAACUGUUGGCCUUCGGGUCUUUAACUACAACUGUGACGAACGUAAAUUAUUAUAACAAAUAAAACUUUUAACAACGGAUCUCUUGGCUCU